RNAcentral lists this ribosomal RNA (253 nucleotides) under uncultured Burkholderiales bacterium. RNAcentral's name for it is "partial 16S ribosomal RNA". It matches the Rfam family "Bacterial small subunit ribosomal RNA", at positions 524 to 776 of the family's 1533-position model. Lineage: Bacteria; Pseudomonadati; Pseudomonadota; Betaproteobacteria; Burkholderiales. The record is from RNAcentral.
UACGUAGGGUGCAAGCGUUAAUCGGAAUUACUGGGCGUAAAGCGUGCGCAGGCGGUUUUGUAAGACAGUGGUGGAAUCCCCGGGCUCAACCUGGGAACUGCCAUUGUGACUGCAAGGCUAGAGUGCGGCAGAGGGGGAUGGAAUUCCGCGUGUAGCAGUGAAAUGCGUAGAUAUGCGGAGGAACACCGAUGGCGAAGGCAAUCCCCUGGGCCUGCACUGACGCUCAUGCACGAAAGCGUGGGGAGCAAACAGG